Molecule: ribosomal RNA, 264 nt
Filed under: uncultured bacterium
Lineage: Bacteria
Description: partial 16S ribosomal RNA
Source: RNAcentral
CUGCUGCCUUCCGUAGGAGUUUGGACCGUGUCUCAGUUCCAAUGUGGGGGACCUUCCUCUCAGAACCCCUAUCCAUCGAUGCCUUGGUGGGCCGUUACCCCGCCAACAAGCUAAUGGAACGCAUCCCCAUCGAUGACCGAAAUUCUUUAAUAGUUCUACCAUGCGGAAGAACUAUGCCAUCGGGUAUUAAUCUUUCUUUCGAAAGGCUAUCCCCGAGUCAUCGGCAGGUUGGAUACGUGUUACUCACCCAUGCGCCGGUCGCCA